UGGCGAUAUAUUGGGCUAAAGCGUCCGUAGCUGGCCAGACAGUCCAUUGGGAAAUCCACGCGCUCAACGCGUGGGCGUCCAGCGGAAACUGUCUGGCUUGGGGCCGGAGGACUCGAGGGGUACGUCUGGGGUAGGAGUGAAAUCCCGUAAUCCUGGACGGACCACCGGUGGCGAAAGCGCCUCGAGAGGACGGACCCGACAGUGAGGGACGAAAGCCAGGUUCUCGAACC
RNAcentral lists this ribosomal RNA (230 nucleotides) under uncultured archaeon. RNAcentral's name for it is "partial 16S ribosomal RNA". It matches the Rfam family "Archaeal small subunit ribosomal RNA", at positions 502 to 725 of the family's 1478-position model. The record is from RNAcentral.